This 66-nucleotide transfer RNA is filed under the name Escherichia coli. RNAcentral describes it as "tRNA-Ala". It matches the Rfam family "tRNA". From Rfam's summary of the family: Transfer RNA (tRNA) molecules are approximately 80 nucleotides in length. Their secondary structure includes four short double-helical elements and three loops (D, anti-codon, and T loops). Further hydrogen bonds mediate the characteristic L-shaped molecular structure. tRNAs have two regions of fundamental functional importance: the anti-codon, which is responsible for specific mRNA codon recognition, and the 3' end, to which the tRNAs corresponding amino acid is attached (by aminoacyl-tRNA synthetases). tRNAs cope with the degeneracy of the genetic code in two manners: having more than one tRNA (with a specific anti-codon) for a particular amino acid; and 'wobble' base-pairing, i.e. permitting non-standard base-pairing at the 3rd anti-codon position. Lineage: Bacteria; Pseudomonadati; Pseudomonadota; Gammaproteobacteria; Enterobacterales; Enterobacteriaceae. The record is from RNAcentral.
GGGGCUAUAGCUCAGCUGGGAGAGCGCUUGCAUGGCAUGCAAGAGGUCAGCGGUUCGGCUCCACCA